UCCGAGUUGUCCCCGGCAGUCCUCUUAGAGUCCCCGGCAUUACCCGCUGGCAACUAAGAGCAGGGGUUGCGCUCGUUGCGGCACUUAAGCCAACACCUCACGGCACGAGCUGACGACAGCCAUGCACCACCUGUGCACAGGCCCCGAAGGGCUGCCGUAUUUCUACGGCAUUCCUGUGCAUGUCAAGCCUAGGUAAGGUUCUUCGCGUUGCAUCGAAUUAAACCACAUGCUCCACCGCUUGUGCAGGCCCCCGUCAAUUUCUUUGAGUUUUAACCUUGCGGCCGUACUCCCCAGGCGGAUGACUUAACGCGUUAGCUGCGCCACCUAAACGCUAAGCGCCCAGACAGCUAGUCAUCAUCGUUUACCGCGUGGACUAC
RNAcentral lists this unclassified non-coding RNA (377 nucleotides) under uncultured bacterium. Its description in RNAcentral is "contains 16S-23S intergenic spacer region". The record is from RNAcentral.